GGGCUGGCUUUAGCCCAGCGGUUCCUUCGAUUCUGGCUUUCCAACCGCCCGGGCUGAUUGGUCCGGUGAUUUGAGACCUGCGGGCGCUCUCCAGUCCUUUU
Molecule: unclassified non-coding RNA, 101 nt
Organism: Cavia aperea (Brazilian guinea pig)
Lineage: Eukaryota; Metazoa; Chordata; Mammalia; Rodentia; Caviidae
Gene: Vault
Rfam family: Vault RNA
About the family: This family of RNAs are found as part of the enigmatic vault ribonucleoprotein complex.
Source: Ensembl